Molecule: transfer RNA, 89 nt
Filed under: bacterium
Lineage: Bacteria
Description: tRNA-Leu
Rfam family: tRNA
About the family: Transfer RNA (tRNA) molecules are approximately 80 nucleotides in length. Their secondary structure includes four short double-helical elements and three loops (D, anti-codon, and T loops).
Source: RNAcentral
GCCGGGGUGGUGGAACAGGUAGACACAGGGGACUUAAAAUCCCCUUCGCCGAAAGGCGAGUGCGGGUUCGAUCCCCGCCCCCGGCACCA